UUGCAGUGCGGCAGCCUAUACAUGCAGUCGACGAGCUUCCGUUGAAUGACGUGCUUGCACUGAUUUCAACAAUGAAGCGAGUGGCGAACUGGUGAGUAACACGUGGGGAAUCUGCCCAGAAGCAGGGGAUAACACUUGGAAACAGGUGCUAAUACCGUAUAACAACAAAAUCCGCAUGGAUUUUGUUUGAAAGGUGGCUUCGGCUAUCACUUCUGGAUGAUCCCGCGGCGUAUUAGUUAGUUGGUGAGGUAAAGGCCCACCAAGACGAUGAUACGUAGCCGACCUGAGAGGGUAAUCGGCCACAUUGGGACUGAGACACGGCCCAAACUCCUACGGGAGGCAGCAGUAGGGAAUCUUCCACAAUGGACGAAAGUCUGAUGGAGCAAUGCCGCGUGAGUGAAGAAGGGUUUCGGCUCGUAAAACUCUGUUGUUAAAGAAGAACACCUUUGAGAGUAACUGUUCAAGGGUUGACGGUAUUUAACCAGAAAGCCACGGCUAACUACGUGCCAGCAGCCGCGGUAAUACGUAGGUGGCAAGCGUUGUCCGGAUUUAUUGGGCGUAAAGCGAGCGCAGGCGGUUUUUUAAGUCUGAUGUGAAAGCCUUCGGCUUAACCGGAGAAGUGCAUCGGAAACUGGGAGACUUGAGUGCAGAAGAGGACAGUGGAACUCCAUGUGUAGCGGUGGAAUGCGUAGAUAUAUGGAAGAACACCAGUGGCGAAGGCGGCUGUCUAGUCUGUAACUGACGCUGAGGCUCGAAAGCAUGGGUAGCGAACAGGAUUAGAUACCCUGGUAGUCCAUGCCGUAAACGAUGAGUGCUAAGUGUUGGAGGGUUUCCGCCCUUCAGUGCUGCAGCUAACGCAUUAAGCACUCCGCCUGGGGAGUACGACCGCAAGGUUGAAACUCAAAGGAAUUGACGGGGGCCCGCACAAGCGGUGGAGCAUGUGGUUUAAUUCGAAGCUACGCGAAGAACCUUACCAGGUCUUGACAUCUUCUGCCAAUCUUAGAGAUAGACGUUCCCUUCGGGGACAGAUGACAGUGUGCAUGGUGUCGUCAGCUCGUGUCGUGAGAUGUGGGGUAGUCCCGCACGAGCGCACCCUAUAUCAGUGCCAGCAUUCAGUGGCACCUCUGGUGAGAACUGCCGGUGAACAAUGAGAAGGUGGGAAUGAACGUCGAUCAUCAUGCGCCUAUGACCUGGCUUAACAACGGGUCCUCUACAAAUGAAACACG
RNAcentral lists this ribosomal RNA (1226 nucleotides) under Levilactobacillus brevis. Its description in RNAcentral is "bacterial SSU rRNA". It matches the Rfam family "Bacterial small subunit ribosomal RNA", at positions 36 to 1245 of the family's 1533-position model. The record is from RNAcentral. Lineage: Bacteria; Bacillati; Bacillota; Bacilli; Lactobacillales; Lactobacillaceae.